This is a long non-coding RNA of Pantherophis guttatus, 889 nucleotides long. RefSeq lists it as uncharacterized. NCBI's taxonomy places the organism in Eukaryota, Metazoa, Chordata, Lepidosauria, Squamata, Colubridae. The record is from RefSeq and is a predicted model, not a curated record.
ACUGGUGAGACUCAAACUGCAGGAAGGCAGCAGGCAGCAGAAGUAGCCUGCAGUACUGCAUUCUAACCACUGCGCCACCAUGGCUUUUAUAAUCAUACAAAUCAACCAUGCACAAUGUCUUAUGGUGAAACCCAAAGGUGCUUUUUCAAGAGGCAACUGGACUUUCUGUUUUUUCUUUGAAAACGUUUUACUUCUCAUCCAAGAAGCUUCUUCAGCUCUGACUGGAUAGUGGAGAAUGGAAGGAUUUGCACUAUUCAGGUGACCCUGAGGACACAGAUAAACCUCCAAGUGGCCUCGACGACUCUAAAAGAAUGUCUGCAAGGAGUAUAAAUCCUUCCAUUCCCCCUAAAUAAGACCUAUUCCAAAUCAACCAUGGUUAUUGUAAAUUUCCAAACAUGAAAAAUAAGCCAGGCCCUCCUAUCCCAGAUCACUUCUUCAUGUAGGCUAGUGGGAAAGCAAAAUAUGUUCUAGAUUUUCUAGAACGUUGUUAAACUUAGAAAAAAUGAAGCAUUUAAUACAUCAUUGUUUCAGUGUUUUGAUGUCUUAUAAUGGAUCUGUUUUGUUUUUUACCGUAAUUCUUCCAAAUCAUGGAAAUUGAGAAAAUCCACUGUCCAUUUCCAUGCUUCCAUGAAGCAAGAUGAGAAAAGAUAUUGCCCCCUCCACUGAGGCCUGCUUAUUUAAGAAUUACAGAAGAAUAUGGCAGCCAUUGAUUCCCCAUCCUGCACCAGAGAAACAUUUUGGAAUCAUACUGCUGGGUUCUGCCUGGGUCACACAAGAUAUACCGGCUGUGUGUCCUCAUAAAACUUCAUUGGACAGACAUCAGAAUAAGACUGCCACCUCUCAGCUACCUACGUUUCCUGCUGUGUAUAUGAAAGUUAACAGAGUUAAC